This 707-nucleotide long non-coding RNA is filed under the name Cyanistes caeruleus (blue tit). Its description in RNAcentral is "lncRNA (ENSCCEG00000003516.1)". Lineage: Eukaryota; Metazoa; Chordata; Aves; Passeriformes; Paridae. The record is from RNAcentral.
UUCUGAACUUCCAGAACUCCAGAAAGCCUUUCAGCCCAAUUUAAUAUGGAAUAAAGCAAAAAGCAUGGUUUGAUUCCAGACCAAGUCGGUCAGGCAACAGUUAGAUAAGUAUAAUUAGACUUGUAAUUGGAAUGCGUUGUAGACAAUUAGUUUUUGUAAAUGUGUGUAAUUUAAUCCCAAGUAAAGGGUCAGGAGGACCUUGCUGUGAAAGAGGUUAAGGAGUAACAUGUAUAAUUUCCAGGCCUUCUGAUGCUCAGCUGGAGAAGAGCAUGUCCAUCUUUCCAAUGGCAGCAAAAAAUCCACCCUCCCCAAGAGCUCUGGAAUGCUGUGAAGACUCCCUGCCCAGGCACACUCCUCUCCGGAUUAUCUCCAUCCCAAGGAAGCUCGUAUCCAAGAGGUACCAAUUCAUCCUCGUUUUGUGCCCUUCAGUUGUAGCACUUGGGUUUAGCUACUCCCCCAAAACCUUUUCUCUGCUCCCUCCAGACAGGAAAGCCUUGGAUGCCGUGGAGGUUGCAGCUGUUGCUGUUUGAUACGGUUCGGACUCUUCUUUCUAUUAAAUGAUCUUUGCUACAGAAGCGCUUUACAUUUUAAAAUGAGAAGUGAUUUCUGGGUCAAGAAAUGCAUAAGCUGAAGCUCCAGAAACACUCUGUGCCUGGUGUAUUUUAUUGUGUUGAUUUAGAAAGUUAAUAAACAUCAGGUCUUCAGCA